Molecule: long non-coding RNA, 741 nt
Organism: Kogia breviceps (pygmy sperm whale)
Lineage: Eukaryota; Metazoa; Chordata; Mammalia; Artiodactyla; Physeteridae
Source: RefSeq, a predicted model, not a curated record
CUUGAAGGCCUCCGCUUCGCCGUUCUGGUCGUCCUUGGCCAGCAGGUCCAUGAGGGACACCAGCCCCAGCGAAGCAAGACCUUAAGCGAUUUCAAAGCGCAGGCACCUCGAUUCCCCGAAUGCGUUGUGUGGCCGGUAUCGGUGUUGCCCUGGUUUAACUAGCCUGUCUGGCAAAACAAAUGAGACCCAACUGCUCACAGAACAUUCCAAAGAGUCAACAGAGAGAAAUGGAAAGUAUUAGAAACAUGAUUGUCUUUGGAAAAGGAGACACAAAUAUAGUUCCUGAAUCAAGGUUAUUUCAGGCCACUUUGGAAAUUCACCCAGGAAGUUUCGGUUGAAGCAGAUUUCAGAUACCUCAUGGCUUCAGGAUCUUCAAGAAGGCAAAUAGUAAAAUGAAAAACACGUGCAGGAAAUUAGGAUUGCAGUUGCCUGGGCUGCUGAAGGGGUUGCUACUGAGGGGGAAAGACCUCGGAGGGGAUCCUCUUACGUUGAAUGGAGAUGUGCGUGCAUAACAGCGUCCCAAAUCCCAAAUCCAGGUGUAGAACUUGUACACUUUAAAUAUCUCACAAUUUUGUCAGUUAUACCUUAAUAAAACUGGGGAAAAGUAAAUUUUUAAAAAAUGCUCUUUCUUGCUGUGAGAGUUCUUCUUAUAUUUGGGGGAUCAGCUCUUUUUCUAAAUGAUUAUCCAGGUGUCAUGACACUAUUUAUUAAAAAGUCCAUCUUGUCCUCACAUAUGUGAUA